CCACCCCCUUUUCUUUGCUUUUGUGCAAUACACUAUGCUGUCACUUAUUGACCCUCCCCCCACAAAAAAAAAUGUAUCACCCUUUUUUCGAAAAAACAAAAAAAUUGCUUCCACCCCCAUAUCUUUCCCUCAUGAUUUUGUCAUAAUCUCAAUUCAAUGGAGUUUGCAACCAUAAUUACCCAUUUAAAUACAUCAUAAAAGUCUUAAAAUAGAAAAUGACACACAAUCAUGGCUAAAAUUUAUCAAUAUUCCUUAAUCAGCAUUUAAAAGUAACUUCUAAUAAUAAAUUGACAGCUAAUC
This 300-nucleotide long non-coding RNA is filed under the name Mytilus galloprovincialis (Mediterranean mussel). Lineage: Eukaryota; Metazoa; Mollusca; Bivalvia; Mytilida; Mytilidae. The record is from RNAcentral.